CUCGAGCCCAGUAGACGAGCGAAGGGGAGAGGAGUGAAGAAAGGUCCUCUACAUUUCCCUUUUCUAAAUCCUCCCCCUUUCUUCUGUCUUCCCCAACUCCCUCCUCUUUCUCCUCAUAGUCUUCCUCCUUCAUGGGGAGUUAGUGGGGAAUGUGCGCCGAGAUGGACGAGAGAAAGGAGGACGAAGAGGAAAAAAUAAGAGAGUGGGGAAGACCUACUGGCACUCGGCUACCCGGGAGAAGAAGAAUCGACCGUCAACAAAAAUAACAACGUUUGGAGGGAAAGUCCUUUUUCCGGCAACAUUCUGCUUGACUGAAGGAGGCCGGUUCUGUGCUCUCUCAACGAAGGCCUUUUGGAGCAUGGCGUCGGUAGCCAUGUUCGAGAAAGCCGCCAUUACUUCUUGGGAACAUUGGUUUGCAAGUCAACGCCUUCAGUCAGAAGAAGAAGAAUCGGACGACGUCAAUAUCUAUUAAAAAAUACGCAUGUGCAAAGCCUGGAACCAUGAAGAAAUUCGACAAUGAAUGACGCCAUAUUAGUGCUGAAACACAUGAAUGAAAAAAUAAGGAGUAUGCAACAUCAAUGCGUAGUUUAAAGAGGCGAUGUGGAAUUAACAAAAAACAUGGGAAUAAAUGAAUUAGUCAACAGAUACGAAACAUAAAGACAAUUCAAUUUUCGAGUAAGUCCCUCGUAACAUCAGUAAAGGAUCGUUGGUGAUUCAAGUUAUGUCCCUUUCCUCCUUCCUACCUCCCAAUUUCGUCUCCAUUCCCACAACCUGAGACUCCACAUAGUGCAAAAGACAGUUACGUAGCCCAAGCAUAGACAUUAUUUAGACGUAGACAGUAUUUAAGAUGAUAUUUAGACACCAAGAAAGACAGAAAGGAAAGAGGCCCGGUUUUAGACGCAGCUUCGGAAUGUGAGGAUCUCGUACAACGCAAUUUCCACCUCUUUUAUUUCCUUUCCACUCGGGCCUUUCUAAGCCUAGGGAUUUACUUCUAUGGUAUUUUUCGACGUCAGGCUUCAGAGAUGGAAUGCCAAGCAGCCCAUCUCUCUCUCUCUCUCUCUCUCUCCCUCUAUAAGCUUAUCGUAGCCUUAAGCCUCUUUGCGGAAAUACUUUCAAAUUCUUGGGGAUUCGUUGUCUUACUCUUCUCGUGUGUACAGGCUUGUGGGAUGAAGUUGUUGCCUCGUUCCUGUUCUGUAACUCAAGAAGAAGAAUGCAAACGGGAGGGCUUCAGCCUCUAUAAUAUGACGUCUUGAUCUUAGUGUUUUAUCCUUCGUUACCGUCUUCCUCUCUUGCACAAUAUGGUUUAGUUUAAUAUAAUGUCCUUCUAGAAUAUAAGUUCGUUUCAUUACGAGAUGAAUUCACUGUUAAUCUUGAAUUUGCCACGUACAAUAUUUAAGUAGUCUGGGCGAGUUCCUUCUUGUCUUUUUUGUGAAAAUGGUUUUUGAUUUAGUCAGUCAGGUAACCUAUAAACGCCUACUGUUUUAAAACUUUUGGUGGUAGGUCUCGAAUCUCUAGAUUAAGGUGGCUGUAUGCCAACACAUGGGUCCUUGUCCCAAGGAGCUGAAAGGGUUAAGAAGCUCUGUGUGGACCUCUGGACUCUACCUAACCAAGAGACAGCUAGCUACACGCAUGCAUAUUAUCUAUAUAUAUAUACACGCACACGCUCGUUCAUUAAUAGAUGUAGCAGUUAUUUAGAGAGGAACAGGAAAGCCCCAAAUGGCAGCUCCGUUUCAAGACAGAAAAAUCGCUCUCCGCUUCUUUGCAAUUGCUUUCAAUCGUCCCUUCAACUGAGAACUGACUUUGCAGUCUGUCGUUGAUCGUGAGACGCUGAAGAAGAUCUGGAGUGGAAGAGAGAUACAGGAGAUAGAUCGAGUUGCAGAUCAAUUGAAGGAACGAUGAAGAUCUUAUGAGUAGCUGUGUAUCAAGACUGCUCAGUUUGCUUUUCAGAUCAAGUCAAUAGCAUAAACAUAUAUUACAAACAUUGCUGCAUCGAAACAUCUCAAGAAAGUAGUAUCAAGCAAAGCUGUAUCGUAUCCAGUUUGUAUCUUGAGUGCUUUUCUAACCCUCAGUUCGGCUGUGCGUAAAAACAGUCAACGCUUUCGCCAUGUUGAAACACAUUUGUUAUUUUCAGUUUUAUUUUUUACUUAUUAUUAUUGUUUUGUUUUUGUUUUUUGUUCAAUUAUCUACGUUGGCGGCCGUUGUGCCUUCCUUGUCGUUAUGAUGGUGCUGGUAAUCUUUAAGUUCUGGAAAAGCAAUAAUAAGUUUGACACCCGCAGUUCUGCUUUGAUUUGCUUGGCUUACGCUUCUCGUGCAUGCUUUGCUUUCUAUCAUUUCCGUUAGUUCGUUUGCUUGAUGGUAUAUCUUUAGUGCGUGCUUGGAUGUUUUGAUUUGUCUUUUGUCAAAGUCCUGCCUGUAAGGACUCCACCUCGUGGAAUUCUGGCUUGGAUUCUUGUAUUUCAAAAUGGGGCGUUAUCACCCCUCAUCCACUUUUAUUCGGCGUUUUUCUCCUUAAUUCAUCUAAGUAGUAACUCUUCAAGCAUUCUAUGGCUCAUCUGUCGCUUUCAGUAGUUGGUUGUAAUUCGUAUAGACAACUCUUUUGCUGCCUUAAGUUAGUUGCUUCAUUGCGCUCCUGCUCUAUUUACAAAACAUAAUGAAUAAUUUAAACUCACACUUCUUCCAUUUUGUUUACAUUAUUCAUUUAGUCUUUUUGGUAUAUUUGUUGUGAUCACCUUCGUCUGUCUAACUCAUAAGAUAUUAUGAUUUUCGUUCUGUAGUCUUAGGUGAGUCUGCAUUACAGUUAGUUAUAUAAACAGUCUGUUUACUGAUAUCACUAUUGUUUGAUACGUCUUGAUAUUAUUCUGACUUGUCUUUAUUAUUACUAUUGUCAUUAUGAUUAUUAUCAUUAUAAGGGAAACUGGUAACUUGUUUGUUUUAUGGCCAAAGUAUUGUCCAAAACUAUUAUUUUUAUUUUCAAAUUCAGAUUGCUUAUCAACAUUUGCUUCCAUAGUUCUGGGCCAAGUUUUAAAAUGCUUCUUUUUUUUUUUUUUUUUUUUUAAGCCAGCCUUGUGCUGGCACGGGCUCUUCCUCCUGGAGUAGCCCAUAAUUCUGUCUAACUUCACUUUUACAUUAAGAAACUAAAAAGCAAUACAUUUUGUUGUAUUCAGCUACAUAGGCUCAAUGCACGUUUGAUGGUGUUUCUGUGCGUUACUUGUCAGUUGUUUCCUAUUAUCUUCAUUCCUUCAUCAACUUUUGGAUUGUGUUCAAUACUCUAAUUUACUGGGAUUUUUUCUUAUUAUGCCAUAUUCUAUUCUGAAAAAGUAAAAGAUUCUGUUACUUCCGCCAAAAUCACUACCAUUUUUGGCGUCUUUUAGGUAUUUAUCAUAGCUUAAGAUAUAAACCACGCCCCUUGGAUGAUUGAGUUGCCAAAGGUCUCCCGAUAUGCUUCCAACCACAUUGGAAUAUUUACCGAGAGUGUCUGUCUUCUAACUCUUGUUUACAAGAUGUGUGAUCAGUGUCACAGCUUAUGAGAAAUCUGCCAUUUGUGACCUAAUUGUGUAACUACCUUCAUUUCUCGUAGAAUAUUUCCAAACAUAUCAAUAAUCCUUUGGCUUGGUUCACAAUUUUGACUGAAUAAUGUUAAGUUUUUUGUCUUCAAGUUUUAGUUUUGUUACAGUAAGAUUCUUCUUCUGUUAUCUUUGAUGCAUAACUCUAGAGCUCCAGGCAAAGAAACCUGGGCCCUUCCAAAUCACGUCUUCCAGUAGACGAUAAGACUAAUAUGGAUAGGUUCUGAAGCUCUUCCAUAACAUUUAUUUGAUUCUGUAUUUAUUUUAUUUUCUUAAUCACUCCUCGUCCUCUUCUCUAAUUUUUAGCAAAGCAGAUUUUUUCAGUUUACUCCACGAUGUCGUUCGAUUUUAUUUUGCAAGUUUUAUGCAAGGUUAUUUUUUUAAUUUGCUGCUCUCAAGUUCUCUUCAUUUGCUUUUUUGGCUACUUAGGUACAAUUUGUCUAUCAUUCCAAUUUUAGUUCGCUGUUCUGACUUUUUUUCUUUUAUGGUUCUGUUCAACAUAUAUCGCUUUGUCAUGACGCUGAUGGCAGAAAAGCGUGUUCCUCAUUUGCCUUAUAUGAUAUUGACCCGCGUAGAUACAUCUCCAUAUUAGUUUGGCCUCACUUGAUACUGAUGAACGGGGCUUAUAUGGGUGGAUAUAAAAAUGAGUUUCUUAUACAAUAUUAACCAAGAUAUUGUGCAAGUGCUUCAUAAGUUUAAUUAAAAAAUAUCUUUUUCCCAUGCAUAUUUCACCUGACAGAAGUUAUUUGAUAUUUGACGUAAACAUUCAAGAGAAAUUUACUUUCGAAAGCCAUAAGGAUUUUGCUGCCUUAAGAACUAUAUUCCUUCAGUAAAAGGCUACUUUUUUCUGUCGUUCAGUUGGGAAAUCGAGGCUGAAAAAAAUAAAAGCGAAAUGUCUUUCACAUUCUACACUUGUCAGGAAGUCUUAGUCUAUUUAAUUAUUCUUUUGUCCUCUGUACCUGGUGAUGUUCACCUGAGGUUUUCUUCCUAAUUACUGAUUAUCUGUCUCUAUAAUUUUUUUUUUAUUUAUUUUUUGUUCGCUUCUGCUUUUAAGUGUUUUUAUAGUUUUUCUUGACUUCUCGUUUAUUUUUCUUAACUGUGUCACCCGUUUCGAUGCAUUUCGAAUCAUUUGGCCGUUUGACCUCAAAUUCAUGUUUUCUUAGCUGUCGGCAUUCACUACUGCCUUUCCUAAGUGUUUAUAGUUUUUAUUUUUGCUAUAUCUCACUAGUUUUCAUUUAUGUAUUCUCGCUUUCCAUCACUUUAGUAGUGUUCCUUUUGCCGAUCUAUUUUUUCUAUAAAAUUUUAUCCUUUUCUCGCUAUUAACAUCAUUUGCUCGUUCAUUUAUUUUGUUUUGAAAUUUGUAUAAUAUUUUUUUUAGCAUAUUUCAUCUCUUUACUUGUUUCCUUAACUUUCAUUAUUUCAUUUCAAAUGAACAUAGUAUAUAUUUCAUUUUCGCUCUCAUUACCUGCUCAUUUAUUUUUUCAGUUUAAAGUUUAGACAUACUAUAUAUUUUUCUUUUAUCAGGUUUUUUAAUGUACUGGCUUUAUAUCUUUAAUUUGCUUUUCAUUCUUUUUUUAACUUAGUUUAAUUUUCAAAGUUUAAUUUCAAUGUAGUGUCCAUUUAUGGUGUCCUUCAACUGCUUUUUAUUUUAUGAUUUUCUUUUGAGGCUUCCUGCGUCCUUUAUUCGCUUUUUAAUUACCUUAUUAUUAUCCUCUUUUAUUUGCAUUAUUUUCUGUUAUUUGCUUCUUUUAUUUCAGUUCCAGGUUCCUUUUAUUUGCGUACUUUUAUUACAUUAUUUUAUCAAUAUAUUUUGCCCUCGUACCUUUCAAUCGCUUUUAAGGUUCUCACUAAAUUAUUUUUGUUGAUUACGCUUAUUUAUCGUCUUUUAUUAUUUAAUUCCCCUAUUUUUUCCCCUACUGGCAUCUCCCACCCGUUCCCAUUUGAGUUAUAUGUAUAUUUUAUUUGCGCCUUGCUUUUGUUUCUUUUUCUUAAAACAGUCUCAAUCGCUAAAAAAAUAAUAAAAAAAAAUAUUAGAUACGUAAGACUAUAUACCAUAAAAUGUCAGUCCAUAUUUUGUACAUAAAGUUAUAUUAUAUAAGUGUAUAUUGCAUCAUUAAUUGCAUGGGAAACCGUAAUAGUAGUGUUUUUGGUAUAUAUACGCGAUAUAUAUAUAUUGCUACAGGUUUUUUUUUUUUGCCGUGUAGGUGAACAAAAUUUAUAUAAAUAAAUAUGAAUGAAUCUUU
This is a long non-coding RNA of Macrobrachium nipponense, 5806 nucleotides long. RefSeq lists it as uncharacterized. The transcript is spliced from 3 exons. The record is from RefSeq and is a predicted model, not a curated record. Lineage: Eukaryota; Metazoa; Arthropoda; Malacostraca; Decapoda; Palaemonidae.